Long non-coding RNA from Rhea pennata, 6974 nucleotides. RefSeq lists it as uncharacterized. The transcript is spliced from 5 exons. Lineage: Eukaryota; Metazoa; Chordata; Aves; Rheiformes; Rheidae. The record is from RefSeq and is a predicted model, not a curated record.
UUGGUGCGGAAUAACUUCUCUGUUGUCAGAAGUGGGUCUGCACUGCUCAGGCACCAGGCACCACGAGGCUGAGGGCAUCAUGUCCCCCAGAGCCCCCAUGGAGUGGGGCACAAAGCACUGGUCAGAAAGUCCUGUGUCGGUGUGUGGUGUUCCCAGACCAGCAUCCGAUGGCCACAGGUUGAUGCGAGACCAGCACUCCUCAGUCCAUCCGUCCUCUCGCUGUUAUGCUGGCGUUAACCCAGGCCAGCCUCAUCAACAGCACUGCUCUUGGCCGAGCCGAGCAGCACCCAAGCCUGACUCUGGACACAUCCGCGCUCUGCUGGCAAUACUUAUUUGAAAUCCCAAAUCACUUUUCUGCUUGCAAGUCUCUUGGGAAGGCAGAGGGAACAGCCGUCAUGCCGCCCCGAGUCCUGGCACCACUCACGACCUAGCGCAUGCCAAAUAUUGCAAGCAUCUGCGGCGGAGCGCGCCCGGGCCGCGGGAGCCACCUCUUCGGCCGGGAGCCCGGGUGCGGCUGGCUCCGCCGCGGCCCCGAGAGUCGAGCCCGAUCCGUCCUCACCGGUUGUUUCAGGCGGGAGCAACCCAAAGCGCUGCCCCGGCUGCGGUGGCCGCCUGUCCGAGCAUCCUGGAAAUGAAAGCAGCGCUGUUGGCCCCAGCAAGCCACAAGAGGGUCAAGCAGAAACGCGGGAGAGCGGUGACUCAUCUUUGGGUUGACUGGGCAAUUUGGUUUGAGGGAGGGGGAGAGUGAAAGGAAAAAGGAAAGCGGCCCUCCGUAGGAAACGGCGUGCGUUUCUGAGCUGUCCUUUCCUCUGCCCCGACUCCUGACAUCUCUUGAACCAACAAAAUGGGAAUUUUGGACACUUAGCCUGAAGAGCCCUGGCUUUCGUGUGGAGCGUCUCGGGGUCCAAAUAGCCUGGGGAGGCUGCACAUCUCGGUUUGAACCGUAGGGUCUGCAGAGCACGGGGGGGCGCGGAGGAGAGCUGCCCGCUCCAGCACCCCGACGUCUGUGUCGGCGCGCCGAUGGCAGGGACGCAGCCAGCAGGCAGCAAGGAGCCAGGGCCCGUCCAUGCCGCUGCGGUGGUGAGAGCAGGAUGAGGAGGGUGUUUUGGGAGCCAGGGCUGACUCUCGGCUGUGUGCCUGCGGGUCAAAAGCCUGGUCUGACAUCCUCUCCGAGCAGCCACUGCGGCAAAGCGUGGGCCUCUCCUCCGCUCCCUCCCCCCGACCCCAGGAGCCCCUUCGCUGCGGGACGCCCUGCAGAAAAGGGGACGUGGCCACCACCCGCUCCUUCCUCUCUGAGGAGGUGAGAAACGGCCCACGUGCGAGACAAGUGUCUCCCGCGUCGGAGGAAAGGAAACGGGCUCAUAUAAAAGCCGCCGACGCUGGCCGAGCGUGCCUCUGCUCACUGCGGAGGUGCGCACGCGUGCCCCCAAGAUGCCCUUAACAUUGGCUUGCUGAGGCUGUGGCAAAAAAAAGAAAAAAAAGAAAAAAAAAAAAGACCUGUAAAAUUGAAACAACCGGUCUGGCCCGGUCCCUUUCCCCAGAAGGACCUGACUGUCAAGAGCACGUGCCCAUCAACGCUUGCCAUAUGUCCUGGCUGCAUCUGCCUGGGGAGAAGGGGCGGGAGAGAGGGAUGCUCUGCCCUGCUGGCUUUGACUUUCCCAGAUUCCUCGCAGUCUCUAGGGCUUAGGCAUGGUGUGUUCUCUUUUUCUUUUCUUUCUUUCUUUUCUUUUUCUUUUUUUUUUUUUUUUGAUAUUUGGAAAUGGGUUAUUCCCACCCCGCCUCCUUGGCCCCUUCCUGAUGGACAGCACAGGACAGGACGGGACAGGACACCUCCGCAACGCCGAGCAGCCUUCUGCUCGGAGGAGGCGGAAGCAUCUCACCGAAGCCAAGAUGAGCUGCCGGCUUUGAAAAGCAGGUGGUGCGACACAGGGCCCUGAGGACGGCAAUUAGCACAACGGACUUGGCGAGGCCUGAGAAGCUCUGCUUUGCCCCCGAGACCGCGGCGGUUUUUCCACGCGUGCAUGGAGAGGCCAGCUCCCGCGUAAAGACCCCCCCAGCCUCCCCCCUGCCUAACUCCUCUCCAAAUAUAGAGAGGGGAAGGCACGCAGGUUUUCCCUCAGCCCAGGAAAAACGCCGCUGCGGCCCUCGAAAUUUUUUGGCAAAGCCGCCAUCGUGGCCGUGGUCACAGAAACUUUCCCCAGGGACGAAGCAACCUUUUGCGGUGCCGAACAGCUAUGACAGACGGCACUGAAAACCCCUUUCGUUGGAAAUUUCCCUGUCUUCUUCUGCCUCGCAGCGCGCGCGUGCGCGUGCUUAACCCCCACAGGAGUUUUGGGUAGAAGUGAAACCUAUGCGAGGUGCCCUGGGGGCCGCGCUGGCGCCUCCGGCUUCGGCCUCUGCGGGGGAUCGCGGGGGCUAAUCCCGAUGAAGGCGGGUUCGGGGGAGGGAUCAUCUCAAUGUUUCCCUUUUUCCAGCAGGACCUCAUGACGGAAAGCUGUUGGCCAUGGCUUUAAGGUCACGUUUUACGUUGUCGUCCCCUGGGCUGGAGGCCCAGCCUCGCUCACCUUUCCCAGGGGGCCCCCACCGGAGGGCCUGACGCUUCCUCAUUUUCUUUUUCGGUUCCUCUUCCCUGCACUCAGUCGCCGUCGCUUUGGAGAGCCUCGUCACCCGCGACCGUCCUUCCCCCCUUCACAUUUCCCUAUGCCAGAGUUUCCUUGCGCCAGCGCCGUUACUCACCCAGCUCCUCCUCCACCUCUGAGUAAUGGCUACACCAAGGAUGCGGAGCCAAUGGUUAUGCCAAGGAUGGUCGCACCUAGGAUGCUAGAGAGGAAAGGAUCCGCAUUUUUUGAACGAUAGCAAUAAUAAUAAUAAAACGACCCAGUCUUGAUAGCAAAGAGCAGUCUAUGAACGCCGAGUAGGAACCUGCCUACGCAGCCUCCAUGGGAUCGAGCUGACAGGCUGCAAGAAAGGGCAACAUUUGCCUGAGUCAGUCGAAGAGAAUUACACCUUGCACUCAUCAGACCCAUGCAUUCAACUCGAGACAACACCAGUCAUUCCCCAAAUAAAGCAGCAAGUAAGACACCUUUUCAUCCACCCCCAGAGCACGAGGGCAACGAGAGCCACAGGUUUCGAAACCACCGUCUCUUCUCCAGACAGAAAUAGGGAGGAGGGGUGAAGCGCAGAUGUGGCAGGUCCAAAACAAACCCGAGGAAGUGGCUCCUUGCGUAAUGAAGCGGUGCAACUCCCUGUGGCAGGAUGCUGCGGAUGCUGAACGUUCGCAUGAGCUCAAAAAGCAGUUGGGCCUUUUCAUGGAGGGGGAAAAUAAAUUACAGACUGUCAUGGACAAAGAUCCCAGCGCUCGCUUGGGAAGUCUCUCAGGCACGAAUCGCCUGAAAUUAGAGCCUGGGACAUGCUGGCACUCGCUUGCCUUAGUUCACUCUGUUUUCAAGGCAUUCGCUGCUAGCUGCACUUGGGGCUAGGACAUCGGUCUAGGUGGACUUUUUUUGCAUCUCUGUGUUAUGGCUGAAGUAUGAAUAUCAGUGGUCCCAGUGUUGUUGGAUUGGCUGGGAUAGCUACUAAAUGCAUCUAUUUCAGGGACUGUUUUACUUUUCCUGUGAUGGCUGCUGAGCAGAUGCCACCAUUGUUGGUGCUUGACACAUUUCCUGGGUUUAACUCUGCCGGUCUGCGGCUGACCACUCCGAGAAAGUCAGUGAGUUAGUGCUAUGGUCUUGCUCGUCUGCACAUCUUAGUCUGCUGAGGGUUUUCUUUUGCUUUUAAUGAGAACAUUCAGCAAAACAGGCUGCAGAGCAAUAGCAAGCUCCAAAGGAGAGACUUUCAAGGGCAAGAGCUCUCAGCAGCAUGGCUGUGGCAUGUGUCUAUCCACAUGCUGAAGAAGUUGAUUUCUCCCCUCUACCUCCAUGGAGCCACCAGAGCUUUACCAUGACAGUGAAGGUAGCAGGAUAAGGCCUUUCCUGGAUCAGGUCCUUCUACUGUAAGACAUCACUCUGGCACAGGAAAUCACCGAGCUGCAAAGAGUAGGAGGCUGCAAGAGUUGUUGAGCCUCAUUUUAGGUCUCUCUGAAGGCACAGACUGUUGACAGCGAAGGUCUCUGGCCUGCCCCCUCCCCUUCAACCUCCCGAAGCAAGGCCAGCUUCAAAGCCUGGUGGCGACACUCAGGGACAUGUCUUUGAAGCCCUCCGUGCAUGUGGCCAUCUGACGCAUUUUGGGUGUGAGUCAAUGCCUGAUGCACCGAAACAGGAGGUGAUUCAGCCACAGAGCUCUGUUGGGGUUGUCUAGCAAAACAGCAUGGCAGCUGGGGCUACAUCUGACCCCUUGGGCCAUCCCCGCUUGUUCCUACACCUGCUUCAUCUCCAGCAGGGCACAGCAGCCCACAACCGUCGGACCCCUUUGGAUUUGUAUGGUUGGGCUACAGCGGGUCCAUGGCUGUGGCGCCGGGGCCGUGAGACAGGAGCGCAGCCUGGGAGAAGCAGCGAUUUGCAAGCGUUUGCCACAUUGGGACCAUGUUCCUGGCAGAGCCAAGCUCGAGAAGCACCGAAGAAGGAAAAAGCCUUGCUUUAAACCUGAACUUGAUUUGUCUGGUCGUAAUUAUGGCAACUGCUUCUCUAUGCCUAAAGGAGGCUGUGGCUCUGGCUGUGAAUCUUCCUUUGAUGUGUAGAUACAGGUGCCGUUAUCUGGGGACCAUCUCAGGUGGGGAGCAGGCCAUGCACAGCCAACCGAUGCGGCAACCAUGCACAACACAAGCAAACAUGGCUAUUUUAGCCUAAAUUUUGGCUGAAACCACUCAGCAGCAUGCUGCUGAUCAGGACCAGUGUUAGGGAGGGCUGUAUGGAAACAGGCCAAGCUCAUGCCUUAUGGAGCCCAAAUAACCCUUACGGAGUGCAAGGGAGCUCAGCGCAGCCAACAGCCGCCCCAGUCGCACCUGCGGCGCUCGUGCGAGAAAAGCUGCCGGACACAAAAGCCACCCGUCCCUCUGGAAGGGGGUCCUGGCUACUGUGGACACAGAACAGCAUGACUCUUCACUGCCGCUUUAAAGCUCAGACAGGGACCACUGUUAUAUUCAUAGAAAUCAGUGGGAGAUUUGUCAUUCAUAGUCUGAUCGCAUGAGUCUAACGCUAUGUAUAGAUAGGUUAGAGUCACGCUUAUAUAACACUGCCUUAUUUAUGAUCCUAAGCCUAAGGGAGAGACAUCUCACCCCCAGCCCUUUCUUCCUGGCAGAAAGUGUCAUUCAAAGCCCAGCUUCAAUCCUAUCUCAGAAGCCGGGUGCUUAACUCAGCGUUGGGGAAAUCCAAGGGAGGCAUUUCCCUCUCGCCUCACGAGAAGGCGGCAGCCGCUGGGAUCCGCGCGCCUGCGGCUAGACACAGUGCUGGAGCCGGAGAGCCUCCAGGAGCGACCUCUGCCUUCACCCCCCUCCCCCAACGUGGGCGAGAGGCAAAAUGCCCCGGGUCGUCCUGGACAGAGAGCACUCGCAUCCCUUACCAGGUUUCGGCUGAACGCUUUCCAAGGCUGGCCGCUUCCGCCGAGCGCGUCUCAAACAAGCUGAGAGGAGGGGAUCUGCUUGCUUCCAGGGAUUCGCUUCUCUGGCUCUGCAGCAUCCCCCAAACCUGUGGCUACGAAUAUUAGUUUAAUCUCCAUGGCAAACAUUUGAAAAAUUCGAGAUUAAGGGUCCCCGGGCUUGACUUGGGCACCUCACUCAUCCAUCUGCUUUAUAAUCCGUGGUUGUGACUGCAUGAUCACAGAGCAUGGGUGCCCCGAUGGCCCAAGCAGGGAAAGCUUGAAGCUCAUGAAGACAGGAGCACAGCAGGAGGUUGGCAAGGGAAACCAAGGGGGUCUGAAAGCUGGGAAGGCGCCGCGGUUGUGUUGGAAGAUGACACAACGUCAAGGGCAGCCCAUGCCUAUUCUUGUGUCAGGAAGGCCCUUACUGGUGCCAAGAUUGCAGAAAAGUUUGGUGAGAACCCUGAAUCGAGCAAUGCAUCUCUCAAACCAAGGCCUUCAGGCUGAACCGCAUGCUGGAAGAUGCUCCAGAUGGGAGCCCAGGGGACAGCUGGACUGGCUUCGCAUCUGCCAGGCUUCGUAUCAGGGACAGAUUUUUGGACACUGGCAAUACAGAGGGGCAAAUGGGCUACACCACAGCUUUGCCAUAGGACCAGCAGGCUCCUAAGUGAGUCCUUCAGAGCUGGGCUCAUGUCUCAGAUCAGCCAGCCCAUCUAUCAGCCGCUCCGUGGAAAUGCCCGAGGCAGCUCGCCUCCGAACGCUGCGGUUUUUGUCUCCCCCCUCAAACCCAACCACAACAAAAAGAAAAAGCACGGGGAUUUUAGGGAUAGAGAUGUUCUGUUCCCACUGGCAGCACUUGGGCCUGACACGGAACCCCCCCCCCACCAGCACCAGUCAUAACUAACUGCCGGAGCUAAUCAGCUGGCGGAAGUCAUAUCCUCCUAAAAUCCUGCUCUUGGAUUAAGCCACGUGUCACUCACGCGAUAGAGCCGGAGCCCCGUCGACCUUUAGAGGAAGGGAUGAGCCAGUGGCAAAAAGGUAAGAAAGGGAGAGGAAGCCAAACCUGAGGUGGAAACGGGCACAGGCCACUUUUUGCGCCCAGCGAACCUGAGUGCCGCCUGCCCCCGGCAUGUUUGCACAGGCGCCAAGCGACAGCAGCUCUUCUGGUGCGUGGAACGCCCCGCUGCAGCGCCGAAGAAUCCGCUUUCCCCUUCGCUUUCGGGAUUAAAGCCUCCUUUUUCCUUCUCCUAAUCUGCACCAGGCCAGUGGCACGGUGCUUAGUCCCCCAGGGCUUUCCCCGAGGAAAGCUCAGCCUGGGUGAAACCCCCUUCGCUGGCUCCGUGGCCCCCACUGAAAAGCCCUGGGAGAUCCUUGGCUGAAAACCAGCGGGGGACAGGCUGCUCCGCUGACAGCCCUGCGAGAGCAGCAGCUCACACGGCGGGGAGGGAGGGCACUGAUUUGGG